RNAcentral lists this ribosomal RNA (439 nucleotides) under uncultured Lachnospiraceae bacterium. Its description in RNAcentral is "bacterial SSU rRNA". It matches the Rfam family "Bacterial small subunit ribosomal RNA", at positions 355 to 794 of the family's 1533-position model. Lineage: Bacteria; Bacillati; Bacillota; Clostridia; Lachnospirales; Lachnospiraceae. The record is from RNAcentral.
UGGGGGAUAUUGCACAAUGGAGGAAACUCUGAUGCAGCGACGCCGCGUGAGUGAAGAAGUAUUUCGGUAUGUAAAGCUCUAUCAGCAGGGAAGAAAGACCUCGAAAGAGGGGAUGACGGUACCUGAGUAAGAAGCCCCGGCUAACUACGUGCCAGCAGCCGCGGUAAUACGUAGGGGGCGAGCGUUAUCCGGAUUUACUGGGUGUAAAGGGAGCGUAGGUGGCAGGGCAAGUCAGAUGUGAAAUGCCGGGGCUCAACCCCGGAACUGCAUUUGAAACUGUCCGGCUAGAGUGCAGGAGAGGUAAGUGGAAUUCCUAGUGUAGCGGUGAAAUGCAUAGAUAUUAGGAGGAACACCAGUGGCGAAGGCGGCUUACUGGACUGUAACUGACACUGAGGCUCGAAAGCGUGGGGAGCAAACAGGAUUAGAUACCCUGGGUAGU